ACCAGUUUAUCCUGCUGGAGGUCGCUGCUAUCGGAAUUCGACUAAGCCAUGCAAGUCCUGGGAUCGCAAGAAACCGGCAAACUGCUCAGUAACACGUCGAUAAUCUAACCUUGGGUCCAUGAUAACUUCGGGAAACUGAGGCUAAUAAUGGGCAGGGGAUUUCUACUGGAAGGUGAUUUCCCCUAAAGGCAACGCCCAAGGAUGAGUUGGCGGCGGAUUAGCUUGUUGGUGGGGUAAUGGCCCACCAAGGCAUUGAUCCGUAGGGGCCUUGGAAGAGGUAGCCCCGAGAAGGGCACUGAGAUACUGGCCCUAGCCCCACGGGGUGCAGCAGGCGCGAAACCUUUACAAUACACGAAAGUGUGAUAAGGGGAUUCCGAGUGUCUAUACUAAGUAUAGGCUUUUUUUAAGAGCAAAAUUCUUGAAGAAUAAGUGGUGGGUAAGACCGGUGCCAGCAGCCGCGGUAAUCCCGGCGCCACUAGUAGGGACCUUGAUUAUUGGGCCUAAAGCGUACGUAGCAGGUCUAGUAAAUCUCUUGUGAAAUUGUUGGGCUUAACCUAACAGCGUGCAGGAGACACUGCUGGACUAGGGACCGGGAGGGGUUGAAGGUAUUCCUUGGGGAGCGGUAAAAUGCUAUAAUCCUUGGAGGACCACCUGUGGCGAAGGCGUUCAACCAGAACGGGUCUGACUGUGAGGGACGAAAGCCAGGGGAGCAAUCCGGAUUAGAUACCCGAGUAGUCCUGGCUGUAAACUCUGCGAGCAAGGUGUUGCAUAUUCUACUAGGAAUAUGCAGUGUCGAAACGAAGGUGUUAAGCUCGCCGCCUGGGAAGUACGGUCGCAAGACCGAAACUUAAAGGAAUUGGCGGGGGAGCACUACAAGGGGUGCGGCGUGCGGUUUAAUUGAACUCAACACCGGGAAUCUCACCAGGAGCGACGGUAGAAUGAAAGUCAGUCUGAAGGGCUUACUUAACGAGCCGAGAGGUUGCGCAUGGCCGUCGUCAGCUCGUGCCGUGAGGUGUCCUGUUAAGUCAGGCAACGAGCGAGACCUGCAUCUACAAUUGCUAACAGCUCUUCACAGAGGUCUGAGCACAUUGUAGAGUCUGCCUUGGAAACGAGGAGGAAGGUGCAGGCUACGGUAGGUCUGUAUGCACCGAAUCCCCUGGGCUACACGCGCGCAACAAAUGUAGGGACAAUGGGAUGCAACUCUGAAAAGAGGAGCUAAACCUCGAAACCCUAUCCCAGUCCAGAUCGAGGGCUGAAACUCGCCCUCGUGACGUCGGAAUCCCUAGUAAUCGGACGUCAUCAGCGUCCGGUGAAUACGUCCCCGCUCCUUGCACACACCGCCCGUCAAACCACCCGAGCAGGGUUUAAGUGAGGCCUAGCCCUUAGCUAUGUCGAACUUGAGCUCAGUGAGGAGGGUUAAGUCGUCACAAGGUA
RNAcentral lists this ribosomal RNA (1434 nucleotides) under metagenome. RNAcentral's name for it is "bacterial SSU rRNA". It matches the Rfam family "Archaeal small subunit ribosomal RNA". The record is from RNAcentral.